RNAcentral lists this long non-coding RNA (5818 nucleotides) under Citrus x clementina. Its description in RNAcentral is "Citrus clementina (C. clementina) long non-coding RNA (CCLE_LNC003566)". Lineage: Eukaryota; Viridiplantae; Streptophyta; Magnoliopsida; Sapindales; Rutaceae. The record is from RNAcentral.
AACGCUUGAUGCUCUUGUGCUGACCAUGAGAAUGUUCCAAACCCAGGUAUAUUUCCUCACUAGAACUGCACCAAAGUGAUUUCUGCAUACAUGUGAGUUGUCGUUUUUUUACCCCCAACAAAUCUUGAUGUUCUUACAUACAAUCUAUGCUAGCGUAAGAAAUUUUCUAUCAUCAUUUGAUGUUUAUUCUCCAAGAAGUUUGCUUUGACCUGAAAAAUAAGAAACAUUAUUAUGAAAUCUCCAUGAUUUUCCUUUCUUUUUCAUUCUUUUUAUGCUUUUUUAAAUGCAAGAUUGGUUUUAAGAAGCAUCAUCUCCAUCCAGUAUCUAGUUAUAGUAGAUGGUUAUGUUAUGUUCCAUUGAGGAUGGUAUCUAGAUAUUUAUAUGGAUGUUCUAAUUUCUGGUAGAGAUCAAUUAGUACGGAUCUAUGAAGAUCUUUUCUACAUGAUUAAUAUCCAAAACUAAUUAGUCGGACAAAAUUUCCAUGGUUGAAUUGCGAACUUGGACACCAUGCUUCCUUAGAUCACCUUUUGAUUUUAUUUGAUCAUUUUUCCUUUUCUUUUUCUUUUUUUUCCUUGAAAAAGGCAAAACAGGUGACUAGAGCUAAAAGAAUUAAGCCAGAUGAAUAAACUGGGAUUUUUUCUCUUGGUAAUUGGGUCAUUGAAGCUAUCAGAAUCAGCGGCAUUUUGUACGAUAGGGCUGAAAAGGUAUCAUACUAUCAUUUACUAUUAGUUUUGCCUUUGUUCUUUUUAUCUUCUCUAAAGGCAAAGCUAACAGUAAAUGAUAGUAUGAUACCCUAUAAUUUUGAUGGAGUAUUCUUUGUGGUCAAAAUUAUAGGGUAUCAUACUAUCAGUUACCGUUAGCUUUGCCUUUGUUCUUUUCCAUCUUCUCCAUAUUAUUUCUAUAUAACACAUUAUUCACUCAUGAAUGCCCAUUGGUCUGAAUUUAAAGUGAUCUAAUUUGUUAACCCAUUUGUUUAUUCUGACAUCUCUAUUUGGAAUUUUACAUUAUGACAAGAGAAACAUAAGAGCAUAGGCCUUUCUUCUUUCGAGUGUACAUCUAGGCGUCUUAAUCCAUUCUUGGUUAAAUAUGGAUAAUUAUAAAUUCGCAUCAAGCUGUUUCUCUAGUUUUUAUUUAGUGAAAAAUAAAUAUUUCCUAAAAUUUUCUCACUGUUUGGGGUGGGAAUUUCACCAUGCUACUUGUCACAAUAUUUACUCUUUCUUGAUUGAGACAAGACUGUACCUGAUUGGAAAUUGGGAUUUAAUGGUCUACGAUCCCCUUGAUUCUGCUGUUUAGUUUAGAGAGUAAGGCUCAAAAGUAUGUUCAGGCAUUAGUAUGGCCUAAAUAAGCUCUUAUUGCAACUUUGACAAUGGUUGUUUACUUGAGCAGCAGACUUGGGCCUAAAUAAUAAUGGCACCUGUUACAAAUAGUAAUGUGAGAGUAGAAUAUAUAAGUGGAUAAUGGAGAACCAAUAAUAUUAAUGUUCUAGGGUUGUUAUAGGCUAGAAAAUGUAAUUAGGGAAAUGUUUCUUGAAAAAUCUAGAUAUUUUUUUUUUGUUGGUUUUCCUCCUAAAAGAAUUGUGAAGUCUGCUGUUAAUAGAAAUUCAUUUCUCCCUCUAUAUUUAUUACCACUUAUGCUUGCAUACCUUUGCAUUUAUUUGCACCCAUGCUUACACGGCCUUGUAUGUACCUUUACAUUUAUAUUUCAUGCAUGCUUAGUUAUUUUUGUAAAAAUUUAUGAACAUGUAUUAAUUGUUAGCCUUGCCUAUUGGCUUUAAACAAUAUUAACCUUUACCACAAGUUUUCACCGAUCAAAUUAACAUUGUUAAUAUUUAAUAUCUGCAUGCUUUGUCCAUGCAUUUAAUUCAAAGAUGGCGCAUGCAUUUCACAAGUAUUUAUUCUAAUGCAUGCUUUUUAUUGAAUAUUAUGUGCGUUUUGUCUAAGCGUUAAAUUUGCUUAUGCAUGCUUGCUCUAUGCACUCAAUUGUGAUGCAUCCUCUUGCUAAUUCAAAGAUGACUUUAAACAUGUUUAACCUUUGCCACAACCUUCCACAGGUCAAUUCAACAUUGUUAAUGUUUAAUGUCAUACAUACUUUGUCCAUGCAUUUAAUUCAAAGAUGGCGCAUACAUUACAUGCAUUUAUUCCAAUGCGUGAUUUGUAUUAAAUGUUAUGCAUGCCUUUGUCAAAUCAUUAAAUUUGCUUAUCCAUGCUUUGUCUAUACAUUCAAUUGUGAUGGAUGCGCUCUAAAGUUAGUCUUUUUAGUUUCUAAUUAUUUAUUUAUGGCUACUAACUCUUUGACUUUUAAUUCAAAAAUAAAUAAAAUAAACAGUUGAUGUAUAUGAAUCAGCAAUGUGUGCAUAUAAUUUAAGAUUUAGUAUUUUAAAUUAGAUUUUUUUUAAUAGAAUGAUUGGUUUUUUUUAUUAGCUCAUUUCACAAGAAAUUCCCUUACGUACUAAGGUCUUUCAAUUAGAUUUAAUCCAAAAUUCAAUGUGAGUUGAGCUUUACUUUAAUUUAACCGUUGUUUUAAACCACAGCUUAUAGUGGUUGCCCCAACUUGGGUCUAUCAUAAAUUACGUACCUUAUCGGUUGGAAUGAAUCUUUGGGCUUAACAUCGAUUUUUCAAUCCACUUGGCAAGGCGAUGGAAGCAUUAAUACGGCCAUUCAUUUCAAGAAGUCUUUUAAAUGUAUUAGGGACAUUUUCAUUUUCGUUUAUAGGUGUAGCUUCCACAACGAACCAAAUAAAUGCAAAGUUGUCGUUUCUAACCAUUGAACAUAUCUUACAGCAUUUACAAAAUUAAGCAUAUUUCUCGAAUCAUUUCUACAAAAUACACAAAUAUUUUUAAACUGUCGAGUUGGAAAUUCUGUCAUUAUGACUUUUGAAUAAAAUGUGGAGGUUUUAGGUGUUUAAACCAAACUCUUUGAAAGGUUUGUAUUGAUAAAUCUAGCAACUCACUCCUUAUAUAUAUACAAAUUGUUGAUUAUAUUUUUACACUCUUUCUUCUGACAUUUGAAAAAAAAAAGCAAGAUUGUGCAUUUGACUUUUGGUACUUAGAAGCUAUAAAGGUUGUCUGGAAAACAAAUUUCCUUGUCUAGUAAUCAUUAAAAAAAAAAAUUCCACAAAGUCUUCUUUACAUCGACUGUCAAUGUGCUCAAAGUGCUUGUAAGGCUUCCCCAGUGUUAAAUAGAUUGAAUAAGAUUUUGGCAUUAUAUUGAGUUCAAGGGAGCUGCAAAAGUUUUUAAUUGCAUUCAUCAAGAAUGGUAAAAAUAAUAAUACAACGCGACGGCUACUACAAGCCAAAGGAGGUGUUGAACUGAUUUGAAUCUUGGACUUGGACUAGAUCUUGUUUUGUCAAAGCGAUUGGGUUUGUUGGCUAACCCCAAAGGAAUGAUUGGUGCCAUAUCUCAAUUUAGUAUUAAUCUGGCCUUUUUUUUUUUUUUUUAGGGUUUCUAUGGGAUUUGAUUUUAAGGCAGGAAAUUUGAUUAUGCGAUCCGUUUCUCUACGACCGCACAUCUUAAAUAAUCAAAGGGACUAAAAAUUCUACCUAAGAAUCAAUCUUAGACCUAAAGGCCUAGUCUUAUCCAUAAGGUACAUAUUUCUUAGUAGACCUAAGCUAUUGUACAAGGGCAAUCGCAGUAGGUUGUGGUUUGAAAGGUAUGAAAACAUUAGAGUGAGGCUUUGGCUAAUUCACAUUGAAGCUUUGGCUAAACCUACUUGGAGGACUUUAGUCCAUAAGGGAAUGUCUUGUGAAACGAGCUAGUCAAGAAUUAAUCAUUUAAAAAAAAAAUAGUGUAAAACACUAAAUUCUAAUUCAUAUACAUAUUAUUGAUUCACAUACAUAGACUAUGUAUUUUAUUUACUUUUAAAUUAAAGGUCAAAAGGUUGGUAUCUACAAAUAAGUAAAGUAGUAGCUAAAGAGGCUCACUUUGGCAAACAUACAUCAUAAUUGAAUAUAUAGAUAAAGUAUUCAUAAGUUAAUUUAAUGCAUAUAUAACAUUUAAUGCAAAGCAUGCAUUAAAAUAAAUGUAUGUGAUAACUUGUAAGAUGCAUGCAUCACCUUAGGAUUAAACACAUGGACAAAGUGUGCAUGACAUUAAGUGUUGGCAAAAUCAAUUUGAUUGGUGGAAACUUGUGUUAAAAGUUAAACAUGUUAAAAGUUGAUAAGCAUGACUAACAACUAAUAUAAUACUUAUAAAAUUAUCAACAAAAAUGACUGAAUAUGCAUGAAAUUUUAUGUAAGAAUGUAUGCCAAUAAAUGUAAAGGUGCAUGCAACGUUGUUCAUGUAAGAAUAGGAGUAAAUAAAUGCAAAGGGAGAAAUGAAGCCUAUAAAAAAUAGGCUUCAUAAUUCUUUUAAGAGGGAAAAAAAUUAUAGAUUUUUCAUGAAACAUUUUCUAAACGGUUUUCAAAAUACAUUUCUGUCAAUUAUCUCACAUUUUUUUCUAAUUAAUAACAACCCUAAAAUAUCUUAAUAUUAAAUUAUUAGUUCUUCUCCAUUGGUGUAAUCUACUCUCACAUCAUUAUUCACAGUAGGUGUCAUUGUUGUUUAGGUUUGAAUCCAUUAUUCAAGUUUAAUGAAACAACAACCAUGGACAAAAUCAUAGCACCAACUUAUUUUGUGUGAAUAUACUUUGGACUUUACUCUCAAGACCGCAUAACAGAAUUAGGUGGAUUAUGUGCCAUUCAACUGAACUUUUCAAUUAGGCCCAAUUUUAUUUCAAUUAAGAAAGUCUCAUCUUUGUAACACAUGGCCCAGUAAAAUUUCUGCCCGAAUUAUUCUAUAAAUAUAAGCAAUUUCUUAAACAUCUCAAUUGAAUAAUCAAAAUGCCACAAUUACUGUUCACAAUUUGAGUACUGAUUAUGUUUUGUUAUUUGAGAUCAUCAACCAAGCAGUCGGAGCCGCCGCUUGCAGCGAAGUUAUUUGAUGGACCCAAUUGCAGUUCUGGAAAAUAAAUAAAUACAUAAAAUUCUUUCCCUUAUUGUCUUCAGCUUCAUACGUCUUCGAUGAUCAAACUUUUUCUCUCUGUUUCUUCCUUUUAAACUAUCAAUUUUUCUCUUGAAAUUUUUUAACAGCAACUUAUUCAGUUCUUCCAUUUGUUAUCAAACUUUUGGCAACCACUUUCAAAUAAGGCAUUUGAUUGCUUUUAUAUUGUUUUUCUUAAAAUAAAAUAAAAUAAAAUAAAAUUCCUCUGCACGUAUCUAUGACAAAGGGGCUUCUCAUUCCAAGAAGUCAGGUUGGAUUUAUAUUUUGGAGGAACCAUAAAUUAGGCUUUAUUUGUAUUGUCGUUUGAGAUUUAGUUUCCAAUUUUGCCAUGCCGGAUUUUCUUUUUUGGGGGGAAAAAAAAAAGGAAUGAGUACUACUAUUACACGGUAUCUUCAUUGACAUGCCAUUACGUGUGACAAUUGAUGAUAAGUGACGCAUCAUUUAGAUACAAAUUACCAACUUAUAUUUCCAAACUACGUAAGCACUAAGCUAUUUGAAACUAUUUGGCCAGAAAAAUUCAGGAGAUUCCCAUUGAAAAUUAAUUCAUUUUAAGUAAAAUUUCUGCUUGACUCCCUCAAAUUUGCAGGGUCUAUGUUAUCACCUCCUAAAGUUAUUUUUCCUCAUUAUUGCCCUCGUCGGACCAAUCCUAAUUUCACCAGAGUGUGCAAGGAUAUAUGUGUAUAUCAGUGGAGCUAUGAUAAAUUUUAAAUUUGGACGUUCAUUGAUCUGGAUGAAACUAUGGUGCAACGGUUGCACCGUACCACUCAAUUUUGUCUUUUUCAAUUAAUUACAUCUCAAUACCUAUAUUUAAAAAAAAAAUGAAUAGACACUAGAAGUUACAA